UAAUACGGAGGAUCCAAGCGUUAUCCGGAAUCAUUGGGUUUAAAGGGUCCGUAGGCGGUUUUAUAAGUCAGUGGUGAAAUCUGGUCGCUCAACGAUCAAACGGCCAUUGAUACUGUAGAACUUGAAUUACUUGGAAGUAACUAGAAUAUGUAGUGUAGCGGUGAAAUGCUUAGAGAUUACAUGGAAUACCAAUUGCGAAGGCAGGUUACUACGAGUACAUUGACGCUGAUGGACGAAAGCGUGGGGAGCGAACAGGAUUAGAUACCCUGGUAGUCCACGCCGUAAACGAUGGAUACUAGCUGUUUGGAGCAAUCUGAGUGGCUAAGCGAAAGUGAUAAGUAUCCCACCUGGGGAGUACGCUCGCAAGAGUG
This 371-nucleotide ribosomal RNA is filed under the name uncultured bacterium. Its description in RNAcentral is "bacterial SSU rRNA". It matches the Rfam family "Bacterial small subunit ribosomal RNA", at positions 521 to 896 of the family's 1533-position model. The record is from RNAcentral.